ACAAAUGUUACGUUUGGUGGGGGGACGCCCAUCAUCUCGUAAUAUGACUUCUCUGCCUCCGCAAUUCUCGUCUGGAAAAUUCCCCAUUCUUUCCGACAACCACAAACUUUUCCGGGCAUCUCGUUCUCUAUAGAUGUGAUUCUUUUGAUCCUUACCUGGUUCCCAAGAGAAGGAACCACUUGAUGUACAAUCCAUUGGGAAUCAACGACACCGAUUUUCUCAUGUGCAGGCUGCAAAGAUUAAAAUAAUCAGCCAGACAGAUGGAAAUGAUAUGGGCAAAGUCAUACCUGAAUCAUAUGCCAUACACAUCUCCAUGCAUCUCUGGAGAACACCGGGGCCAUUAUUUCAACAAAGCUCACAAGGUGGAAGAUGAGGGUCAGUGCACCAGCCUGUUCUUCCACUUACUUGUGAACCUGGUGAUCCCCUCUUCUUUUGGUCAUCUGCCAUGUCAAUCCCCGAUCUGGCUCUAAACCAGGUUGUGAGAUUUCUAGCUGAUAUUUCUUGACAAGUUUAAUCAUACUCCUCUGCGUUAAAAUGCUCAACUCCAAGAUCCUCGUCCCAGAUAAAUAUGUACUCAUA
This 579-nucleotide small RNA is filed under the name Oryza sativa Japonica Group (Japanese rice). Its description in RNAcentral is "sRNA Os01g0971301". Lineage: Eukaryota; Viridiplantae; Streptophyta; Magnoliopsida; Poales; Poaceae. The record is from RNAcentral.